RNAcentral lists this ribosomal RNA (2904 nucleotides) under Escherichia coli P0299438.2. RNAcentral describes it as "bacterial LSU rRNA". It matches the Rfam family "Bacterial large subunit ribosomal RNA". The record is from RNAcentral. Lineage: Bacteria; Pseudomonadati; Pseudomonadota; Gammaproteobacteria; Enterobacterales; Enterobacteriaceae.
UUAAGCGACUAAGCGUACACGGUGGAUGCCCUGGCAGUCAGAGGCGAUGAAGGACGUGCUAAUCUGCGAUAAGCGUCGGUAAGGUGAUAUGAACCGUUAUAACCGGCGAUUUCCGAAUGGGGAAACCCAGUGUGUUUCGACACACUAUCAUUAACUGAAUCCAUAGGUUAAUGAGGCGAACCGGGGAACUGAAACAUCUAAGUACCCCGAGGAAAAGAAAUCAACCGAGAUUCCCCCAGUAGCGGCGAGCGAACGGGGAGCAGCCCAGAGCCUGAAUCAGUGUGUGUGUUAGUGGAAGCGUCUGGAAAGGCGCGCGAUACAGGGUGACAGCCCCGUACACAAAAAUGCACAUGCUGUGAGCUCGAUGAGUAGGGCGGGACACGUGGUAUCCUGUCUGAAUAUGGGGGGGACCAUCCUCCAAGGCUAAAUACUCCUGACUGACCGAUAGUGAACCAGUACCGUGAGGGAAAGGCGAAAAGAACCCCGGCGAGGGGAGUGAAAAAGAACCUGAAACCGUGUACGUACAAGCAGUGGGAGCACGCUUAGGCGUGUGACUGCGUACCUUUUGUAUAAUGGGUCAGCGACUUAUAUUCUGUAGCAAGGUUAACCGAAUAGGGGAGCCGAAGGGAAACCGAGUCUUAACUGGGCGUUAAGUUGCAGGGUAUAGACCCGAAACCCGGUGAUCUAGCCAUGGGCAGGUUGAAGGUUGGGUAACACUAACUGGAGGACCGAACCGACUAAUGUUGAAAAAUUAGCGGAUGACUUGUGGCUGGGGGUGAAAGGCCAAUCAAACCGGGAGAUAGCUGGUUCUCCCCGAAAGCUAUUUAGGUAGCGCCUCGUGAAUUCAUCUCCGGGGGUAGAGCACUGUUUCGGCAAGGGGGUCAUCCCGACUUACCAACCCGAUGCAAACUGCGAAUACCGGAGAAUGUUAUCACGGGAGACACACGGCGGGUGCUAACGUCCGUCGUGAAGAGGGAAACAACCCAGACCGCCAGCUAAGGUCCCAAAGUCAUGGUUAAGUGGGAAACGAUGUGGGAAGGCCCAGACAGCCAGGAUGUUGGCUUAGAAGCAGCCAUCAUUUAAAGAAAGCGUAAUAGCUCACUGGUCGAGUCGGCCUGCGCGGAAGAUGUAACGGGGCUAAACCAUGCACCGAAGCUGCGGCAGCGACGCUUAUGCGUUGUUGGGUAGGGGAGCGUUCUGUAAGCCUGCGAAGGUGUGCUGUGAGGCAUGCUGGAGGUAUCAGAAGUGCGAAUGCUGACAUAAGUAACGAUAAAGCGGGUGAAAAGCCCGCUCGCCGGAAGACCAAGGGUUCCUGUCCAACGUUAAUCGGGGCAGGGUGAGUCGACCCCUAAGGCGAGGCCGAAAGGCGUAGUCGAUGGGAAACAGGUUAAUAUUCCUGUACUUGGUGUUACUGCGAAGGGGGGACGGAGAAGGCUAUGUUGGCCGGGCGACGGUUGUCCCGGUUUAAGCGUGUAGGCUGGUUUUCCAGGCAAAUCCGGAAAAUCAAGGCUGAGGCGUGAUGACGAGGCACUACGGUGCUGAAGCAACAAAUGCCCUGCUUCCAGGAAAAGCCUCUAAGCAUCAGGUAACAUCAAAUCGUACCCCAAACCGACACAGGUGGUCAGGUAGAGAAUACCAAGGCGCUUGAGAGAACUCGGGUGAAGGAACUAGGCAAAAUGGUGCCGUAACUUCGGGAGAAGGCACGCUGAUAUGUAGGUGAAGUCCCUCGCGGAUGGAGCUGAAAUCAGUCGAAGAUACCAGCUGGCUGCAACUGUUUAUUAAAAACACAGCACUGUGCAAACACGAAAGUGGACGUAUACGGUGUGACGCCUGCCCGGUGCCGGAAGGUUAAUUGAUGGGGUUAGCCGCAAGGCGAAGCUCUUGAUCGAAGCCCCGGUAAACGGCGGCCGUAACUAUAACGGUCCUAAGGUAGCGAAAUUCCUUGUCGGGUAAGUUCCGACCUGCACGAAUGGCGUAAUGAUGGCCAGGCUGUCUCCACCCGAGACUCAGUGAAAUUGAACUCGCUGUGAAGAUGCAGUGUACCCGCGGCAAGACGGAAAGACCCCGUGAACCUUUACUAUAGCUUGACACUGAACAUUGAGCCUUGAUGUGUAGGAUAGGUGGGAGGCUUGGAAGUGUGGACGCCAGUCUGCAUGGAGCCGACCUUGAAAUACCACCCUUUAAUGUUUGAUGUUCUAACGUUGACCCGUAAUCCGGGUUGCGGACAGUGUCUGGUGGGUAGUUUGACUGGGGCGGUCUCCUCCUAAAGAGUAACGGAGGAGCACGAAGGUUGGCUAAUCCUGGUCGGACAUCAGGAGGUUAGUGCAAUGGCAUAAGCCAGCUUGACUGCGAGCGUGACGGCGCGAGCAGGUGCGAAAGCAGGUCAUAGUGAUCCGGUGGUUCUGAAUGGAAGGGCCAUCGCUCAACGGAUAAAAGGUACUCCGGGGAUAACAGGCUGAUACCGCCCAAGAGUUCAUAUCGACGGCGGUGUUUGGCACCUCGAUGUCGGCUCAUCACAUCCUGGGGCUGAAGUAGGUCCCAAGGGUAUGGCUGUUCGCCAUUUAAAGUGGUACGCGAGCUGGGUUUAGAACGUCGUGAGACAGUUCGGUCCCUAUCUGCCGUGGGCGCUGGAGAACUGAGGGGGGCUGCUCCUAGUACGAGAGGACCGGAGUGGACGCAUCACUGGUGUUCGGGUUGUCAUGCCAAUGGCACUGCCAGGUAGCUAAAUGCGGAAGAGAUAAGUGCUGAAAGCAUCUAAGCACGAAACUUGCCCCGAGAUGAGUUCUCCCUGACUCCUUGAGAGUCCUGAAGGAACGUUGAAGACGACGACGUUGAUAGGCCGGGUGUGUAAGCGCAGCGAUGCGUUGAGCUAACCGGUACUAAUGAACCGUGAGGCUUAACCUU